RNAcentral lists this ribosomal RNA (406 nucleotides) under uncultured bacterium. Its description in RNAcentral is "partial 16S ribosomal RNA". It matches the Rfam family "Bacterial small subunit ribosomal RNA", at positions 30 to 526 of the family's 1533-position model. The record is from RNAcentral.
AUUGAACGCUGGCGGCAGGCCUAACACAUGCAAGUCGAGCGAGCGGCGGACGGGUGAGUAAUGUCUGGGAAACUGCCUGAUGGAGGGGGAUAACUACUGGAAACGGUAGCUAAUACCGCAUACCAUCAGAUGAACCCAGAUGGGAUUAGCUAGUUGGUGGGGUAACGGCUCACCAAGGCGACGAUCCCUAGCUGGUCUGAGAGGAUGACCAGCCACACUGGAACUGAGACACGGUCCAGACUCCUACGGGAGGCAGCAGUGGGGAAUAUUGCACAAUGGGCGCAAGCCUGAUGCAGCCAUGCCGCGUGUAUGAAGAAGGCCUUAGGGUUGUAAAGUACUUUCAGCGGGGAGGCGUUACCGGCAGAAGAAGCACCGGCUAACUCCGUGCCAGCAGCCGCGGUAAUAC